AACGAACGCUGGCGGCGUGCCUAACACAUGCAAGUCGAACGAGACCUUCGGGUCUAGUGGCGCACGGGAGCGUAACGCGUGGGAACCUGCCUUUAGGUUCGUAAUAACAGUGAGAAAUUACUGCUAAUACCGGAUAAUGUCUUCGGACCAAAGAUUUAUCGCCUUUAGAUGGGCCCGCGUAGGAUUAGCUAGUUGGUGGGGUAAAGGCCUACCAAGGCGACGAUCCUUAGCUGGUCUGAGAGGAUGAUCAGCCACACUGGGACUGAGACACGGCCCAGACUCCUACGGGAGGCAGCAGUGGGGAAUAUUGGACAAUGGGCGAAAGCCUGAUCCAGCAAUGCCGCGUGAGUGAUGAAGGCCUUAGGGUUGUAAAGCUCUUUUACCAGGGAUGAUAAUGACAGUACCUGGAGAAUAAGCUCCGGCUAACUCCGUGCCAGCCGCCGCUGUAA
RNAcentral lists this ribosomal RNA (449 nucleotides) under uncultured bacterium. RNAcentral's name for it is "partial 16S ribosomal RNA". It matches the Rfam family "Bacterial small subunit ribosomal RNA", at positions 29 to 523 of the family's 1533-position model. The record is from RNAcentral.